UACGUAGGGGGCGAGCGUUGUCCGGAUUUAUUGGGCGUAAAGCGCGCGUAGGCGGCUUUGCAAGUCGGGUGUGAAAUCCCCAGGCUUAACCUGGGAACUGCAUUCGAGACUGCAUUGCUAGAGUAUGGGAGAGGGAAGUGGAAUUUCCGGUGUAGCGGUGAAAUGCGUAGAUAUCGGAAGGAACAUCAGUGGCGAAAGCGACUUCCUGGACCAAUACUGACGCUCAUGUGCGAAAGCGUGGGGAGCAAACAGG
This 253-nucleotide ribosomal RNA is filed under the name uncultured bacterium. RNAcentral's name for it is "partial 16S ribosomal RNA". It matches the Rfam family "Bacterial small subunit ribosomal RNA", at positions 524 to 776 of the family's 1533-position model. The record is from RNAcentral.